Molecule: ribosomal RNA, 468 nt
Filed under: uncultured bacterium
Lineage: Bacteria
Description: partial 16S ribosomal RNA
Rfam family: Bacterial small subunit ribosomal RNA
Source: RNAcentral
GACGAACGCUGGCGGCGUGCUUAACACAUGCAAGUCGAACGGAAAGGCCCUGCUUUUGUGGGGUGCUCGAGUGGCGAACGGGUGAGUAACACGUGAGUAACCUGCCCUUGACUUUGGGAUAACUUCAGGAAACUGGGGCUAAUACCGGAUAGGAGCUCCUGCUGCAUGGUGGGGGUUGGAAAGUUUCGGCGGUUGGGGAUGGACUCGCGGCUUAUCAGCUUGUUGGUGGGGUAGUGGCUUACCAAGGCUUUGACGGGUAGCCGGCCUGAGAGGGUGACCGGACAAAUUGGGACUGAGAUACGGCCAAGACUCCUACGGGAGGCAGCAGUGGGGAAUAUUGAACAAUGGGCGGAAGCCUGAUGCAGCAACGCCGAGUGCGGGAUGACGGCCUUAGGGUUGUAAACCGCUUUCGCCUGUGACGAAGCGUGAGUGACGGUAAUGGGUAAAGAAGCACCGGCUAACUACGUG